Molecule: ribosomal RNA, 403 nt
Filed under: Verrucomicrobiota bacterium
Lineage: Bacteria; Pseudomonadati; Verrucomicrobiota
Description: Verrucomicrobia bacterium partial 16S ribosomal RNA
Rfam family: Bacterial small subunit ribosomal RNA
Source: RNAcentral
UGGGGAAUAUUGCACAAUGGGCGCAAGCCUGAUGCAGCAACGCCGCGUGAACGAUGAAGGUCUUCGGAUCGUAAAGUUCUGUUGCAGGGGAAGAUAAUGACGGUACCCUGUGAGGAAGCCCCGGCUAACUACGUGCCAGCAGCCGCGGUAAUACGUAGGGGGCUAGCGUUAUCCGGAUUUACUGGGCGUAAAGGGUGCGUAGGUGGUCUUUCAAGUCGGUGGUUAAAGGCUACGGCUCAACCGUAGAUAGCCUCCGAAACUGGAAGACUUGAGUGCAGGAGAGGAAAGUGGAAUUCCCAGUGUAGCGGUGAAAUGCGUAGAUAUUGGGAGGAACACCAGUAGCGAAGGCGGCUUUCUGGACUGCAACUGACACUGAGGCACGAAAGCGUGGGUAGCAAACAGG